UACGUAGGGUGCGAGCGUUAAUCGGAAUUACUGGGCGUAAAGCGUGCGCAGGCGGUUCGUUAAGUUCGUUGUGAAAGCCCCGGGCUCAACCUGGGAACUGCAAUGGAAACUGGCGGGCUUGAGUGUGGCAGAGGGGGGUGGAAUUCCGCGUGUAGCAGUGAAAUGCGUAGAGAUGCGGAGGAACACCGAUGGCGAAGGCAGCCUCCUGGGCUAGUACUGACGCUCAUGCACGAAAGCGUGGGGAGCAAACAGG
This 253-nucleotide ribosomal RNA is filed under the name uncultured bacterium. RNAcentral describes it as "partial 16S ribosomal RNA". It matches the Rfam family "Bacterial small subunit ribosomal RNA", at positions 524 to 776 of the family's 1533-position model. The record is from RNAcentral.